UCAUGGGCGCAGGGCCUGAACCAGCCAAGCUAGCGUGAAGGAUGACUGCCCUAUGNCAANGUAAACUUCGNAANAUAAAGGAAUAAAGUCGGGUAUGUAUACUCCUCUUUGCAUGUACUUNANGAAUAAGGAUCGGCUAACUCCGUGCCAGCAGCCGCGGUAAUACGGAGGAUCCGAGCGUUAUCCGGAUUUAUUGGGUUUAAAGGGAGCGUAGAUGGAUGUUUAAGUCAGUUGUGAAAGUUUGCGGCUCAACCGUAAAAUUGCAGUUGAUACUGGAUAUCUUGAGUGCAGUUGAGGCAGGCGGAAUUCGUGGUGUAGCGGUGAAAUGCUUAGAUAUCACGAAGAACUCCGAUUGCGAAGGCAGCCUGCUAAGCUGCAACUGACAUUGAGGCUCGAAAGUGUGGGUAUCAAACAGGAUUAGAUACCCUGGUAGUCUAAGGGCGAAUUC
This 448-nucleotide ribosomal RNA is filed under the name uncultured bacterium. RNAcentral's name for it is "SSU rRNA". It matches the Rfam family "Bacterial small subunit ribosomal RNA", at positions 369 to 808 of the family's 1533-position model. The record is from RNAcentral.